This 450-nucleotide ribosomal RNA is filed under the name uncultured bacterium. Its description in RNAcentral is "bacterial SSU rRNA". It matches the Rfam family "Bacterial small subunit ribosomal RNA", at positions 335 to 801 of the family's 1533-position model. The record is from RNAcentral.
ACUCCUACGGGAGGCAGCAGUGGGGAAUCUUGGACAAUGGGCGCAAGCCUGAUCCAGCCAUGCCGCGUGAGUGAUGAAGGCCCUAGGGUCGUAAAGCUCUUUCGCCAGGGAUGAUAAUGACAGUACCUGGUAAAGAAACCCCGGCUAACUCCGUGCCAGCAGCCGCGGUAAUACGGAGGGGGUUAGCGUUGUUCGGAAUUACUGGGGCGUAAAGCGCGCGUAGGCGGACUGGAAAGUUGGGGGUGAAAUCCCGGGGGCUCAACCCCGGAACUGCCUCCAAAACUCCCAGUCUUGAGUUCGAGAGAGGUGAGUGGAAUUCCGAGUGUAGAGGUGAAAUUCGUAGAUAUUCGGAGGAACACCAGUGGCGAAGGCGGCUACCUGGUCUGCAACUGACGCUGAGACUCGAAAGCAUGGGUAGCGAACAGGAUUAGAUACCCUGGUAGGAUAGCG